RNAcentral lists this ribosomal RNA (528 nucleotides) under Klebsiella pneumoniae. RNAcentral describes it as "bacterial SSU rRNA". It matches the Rfam family "Bacterial small subunit ribosomal RNA", at positions 1014 to 1533 of the family's 1533-position model. Lineage: Bacteria; Pseudomonadati; Pseudomonadota; Gammaproteobacteria; Enterobacterales; Enterobacteriaceae. The record is from RNAcentral.
UGCCUUCGGGAACUGUGAGACAGGUGCUGCAUGGCUGUCGUCAGCUCGUGUUGUGAAAUGUUGGGUUAAGUCCCGCAACGAGCGCAACCCUUAUCCUUUGUUGCCAGCGGUCCGGCCGGGAACUCAAAGGAGACUGCCAGUGAUAAACUGGAGGAAGGUGGGGAUGACGUCAAGUCAUCAUGGCCCUUACGACCAGGGCUACACACGUGCUACAAUGGCAUAUACAAAGAGAAGCGACCUCGCGAGAGCAAGCGGACCUCAUAAAGUAUGUCGUAGUCCGGAUUGGAGUCUGCAACUCGACUCCAUGAAGUCGGAAUCGCUAGUAAUCGUAGAUCAGAAUGCUACGGUGAAUACGUUCCCGGGCCUUGUACACACCGCCCGUCACACCAUGGGAGUGGGUUGCAAAAGAAGUAGGUAGCUUAACCUUCGGGAGGGCGCUUACCACUUUGUGAUUCAUGACUGGGGUGAAGUCGUAACAAGGUAACCGUAGGGGAACCUGCGGUUGGAUCACCUCCUUACCUUAAAGAA